RNAcentral lists this ribosomal RNA (689 nucleotides) under uncultured Actinobacteridae bacterium. Its description in RNAcentral is "bacterial SSU rRNA". It matches the Rfam family "Bacterial small subunit ribosomal RNA", at positions 95 to 798 of the family's 1533-position model. Lineage: Bacteria; Bacillati; Actinomycetota; Actinomycetes. The record is from RNAcentral.
GUGGCGAACGGGUGAGUAACACGUGAGCAAUCUGCCCCUGACUCUGGGAUAAGCGCUGGAAACGGCGUCUAAUACCGGAUACGAGCUGCGAAGGCAUCUUCAGCAGCUGGAAAGAAUUUCGGUCAGGGAUGAGCUCGCGGCCUAUCAGCUUGUUGGUGAGGUAACGGCUCACCAAGGCGUCGACGGGUAGCCGGUCUGAGAGGGUGACCGGCCACACUGGGACUGAGACACGGCCCAGACUCCUACGGGAGGCAGCAGUGGGGAAUAUUGCACAAUGGGCGAAAGCCUGAUGCAGCAACGCCGCGUGAGGGACGACGGCCUUCGGGUUGUAAACCUCUUUUAGCAGGAAAGAAGCGAAAGUGACGGUACCUGCAGAAAAAGCGCCGGCUAACUACGUGCCAGCAGCCGCGGUAAUACGUAGGGCGCAAGCGUUAUCCGGAAUUAUUGGGCGUAAAGAGCUCGUAGGCGGUCUGUCGCGUCUGCUGUGAAAACCCGAGGCUCAACCUCGGGCCUGCAGUGGGUACGGGCAGACUAGAGUGCGGUAGGGGAGAUUGGAAUUCCUGGUGUAGCGGUGGAAUGCGCAGAUAUCAGGAGGAACACCGAUGGCGAAGGCAGAUCUCUGGGCCGUAACUGACGCUGAGGAGCGAAAGCGUGGGGAGCGAACAGGAUUAGAUACCCUGGUAGUCCAC